UACGUAGGGUGCAAGCGUUGUCCGGAAUUAUUGGGCGUAAAGAGCUCGUAGGCGGUCUGUCGCGUCGGACGUGAAAAUCCAGGGCUCAACCCUGGACCUGCGUUCGAUACGGGCAGACUAGAGUUCGGUAGGGGAGACUGGAAUUCCUGGUGUAGCGGUGAAAUGCGCAGAUAUCAGGAGGAACACCUAUUGCGAAGGCAGCUCGCUGGGACGUAACUGACGCUGAGACGCGAAAGCGUGGGGAGCAAACAGG
RNAcentral lists this ribosomal RNA (253 nucleotides) under uncultured bacterium. Its description in RNAcentral is "partial 16S ribosomal RNA". It matches the Rfam family "Bacterial small subunit ribosomal RNA", at positions 524 to 776 of the family's 1533-position model. The record is from RNAcentral.